Molecule: long non-coding RNA, 2249 nt
Organism: Balaenoptera musculus (blue whale)
Lineage: Eukaryota; Metazoa; Chordata; Mammalia; Artiodactyla; Balaenopteridae
Source: Ensembl
AUGUUCUGUUAUUCUUUGUAUAGGAGGCCCUCUGCAUCUGUGGGUUCCAUAUCCUCGGAUACAGAAGACCGACUGUACCACACCAUUUAAUACAAGGGACUUGAGCACCCGUAGAGUUUGAUAUCCUUUGGGGGUCCUGGAACAGAUCCCCCAAGGAUCCCCAGGGAUGACUGUAUGCCACCUAUCAGAAGUGUGAAGACUUCACUUGAGCAACGAACAACCCUCUUUGCUCUUGAGACCAAAGAGUUGCUGUGAGGGAACAUGGAAUUGAGGUUGCCUGCAGUUGCAUCGAGGGACCAAACGUAUGGGUGGAUGCUGAGAAACAGUUAGAAUGCUCCUGUAAAGAAAAGUGGCUGGCGGAUAGUGGAUCAUUAAUUACCAGGUCUCUCUGACUGGAUGAAUAUGUCGGGGUAUCAUUAACUUCAGGAAGCUUCUCUCCCCAGGACUACAUCUAAAAACUUGGUCUCUUCAAGUCCUGGAUCAAUAAAAAAGAAGGAAGAAAAUCAUCACACUAUGAGAUUCUUUGCUUCUUCAAGAAGGUUAACAGCUGAGCAUGGCUUUCACUAUCAACCUGUGAUUCGGAAUUCCUUUGAUAUUAGUAUGAGCACUGUUCUAGUCACAACAAUAUAAGACCCACACUCCUUCCCACAGGAGCUUGAAAUCCAGUAAAGAAAUAAACGUGAUGAAGAUUUUUGUUAAGCAUAACGAACUGAAAUCAAAAGGAGGUUCUUGCUGAUUUCGGCUAAGAGAAUGUAGAAACCUGUGGAAGGCGUCUCAAAAAAGCAGCAGGUGUAACUGGGACUAUCUGAUGGCUGAUCCAAGGACCUCCGCCAAGCAGAGGGUACGACUCAGAGGAGAGGUCCCAGCCCCCGUUCACCUCCUCAGUCAGGUGCCCUGAGCAAGGCGCGUACUGGACAAUUCUACACAAAAGUUGGACCAAUAGCAAAACAACAAAACAAAAGCACUGCCCUCCCAUUCUGGGCAAAAUCCCAAACUCCCAGGGAGUCAUAAAUGUGUCUACUUGGAAUCACAUAUGGGAAGUUCCAGAACAUUCAUGCAGCUUUUCAGGUCUUCGCCCCCACUGUCAGUUUGCACCAGCUGCUUCUCAUCACCUAGCCCUGGGGUCCUUCCCAUGAAGCUCGGUCCAACAGAGAAGCCAGCACCCAAAGGAAGUCCAUGUACACACUGAGCAGUGGACAAGAGCCGAGACUUGAAGGUACGUGAACUAGAUCCCAAGUUGUUUCCCAGAUUCUGUCUUUGGGGAUGACAGUGAUAAAAAGACAUGGGGCCAGGAAAGUCUCAGGCUUUUGUGUUUGUCCUUAUAAAGGUGCUGAUGUAUGGUAAGGAGCAAUGGAGUAAAGUUAUACGUUGUCCAUGAGGCCUUCUAGCAUUACUGAUUUGACCUUCACCCCACCUUUUCAAACUCGAGGAUGAGUAAAACAGAAUAGUAAAAUGCUAUGCUGAUAGUUUUAACUACCAUCCUCUAUAUGGUUCUGUCUAGAUGUUCCGUCUGAGGUUUUAUAAGUUAGAAAUAAGAAAAUAUUCUUUGUUUACGAAUAGGCUAUUUCAAUGGAAAAAAUAUUUCUGUACCUCAGGAAUGCUUCUUAGGACACAUUCCUUAUUUAAAUAAACUACUUGUACAGAAAUGGGUUUUACAACCCAUCUAGACUAAGUUGAAAAUACUUAAAGCGAGCAUUUAAAAAAAAUUUUAGGAAAUUGUCUUGACUAAAUUUUCCAAGUGACUAAGUGACACUGGUGGCAGCAAAAUGACUUAAAUAAUCUGAGACCUGAUGACGUUGACUAUAAGGACCAAUGGAUCAAUUAUAUUCAGAACUUGGGUUUUUUUGUUUUUAAAACAGAGAGUGGUAUUUUCUCCAGAGACACCGGAUAGGAAUAUAACUUGAUCGUCCACAUGUGGUCCACUCAUCCACGCUGGCUUUGAAUCACACUCAUUCCACGCUGAGCUCUUGUUUCCUCAAGCGCAUUCUAUGGUCUUCCAGUGCAGACAGACGGCAUGCACUUCUGGUGGUUCUACACAGCCUUCUGGUCCAGGGCUGAUUGAAUAUGUGAGUAGUUGUUCUAUCACUUAUAAACCAUGUUGAUAUUAAGCAUAAAUGUAGUCCAGAUAAGCUUUCAUUUUCUUAGCCUAGAGGAGUAUGACAGGAUUAAAACCAAAGUGAAUUGAGGGACGACUCAACUGUUUUCAGCAAAUAAUAUAGAAGUGAUUGUACCAUUUGGACCCACUUAAU